GUAAGGAAUAUUGGUCAAUGGGCGCAAGCCUGAACCAGCCAUGCCGCGUGCAGGAAGACGGCCCUAUGGGUUGUAAACUGCUUUUGUCAGGGAAUAAACCCCCGCUCGUGAGCGGGGCUGAAGGUACCUGAAGAAUAAGCAUCGGCUAACUCCGUGCCAGCAGCCGCGGUAAUACGGAGGAUGCAAGCGUUAUCCGGAUUCAUUGGGUUUAAAGGGUGCGCAGGCGGAUUGGUAAGUCAGGGGUGAAAUCCCACAGCUCAACUGUGGAACUGCCUUUGAUACUGUCAGUCUAGAGUAUAGUUGAAGUUGGCGGAAUGUGUCAUGUAGCGGUGAAAUGCUUAGAUAUGACACAGAACACCGAUCGCGAAGGCAGCUAGCUAAGCUAUAACUGACGCUCAUGCACGAAAGCGUGGGGAUCAAACAGGAUUAGAAACCCCUGUAGUCC
Molecule: ribosomal RNA, 445 nt
Filed under: uncultured bacterium
Lineage: Bacteria
Description: partial 16S ribosomal RNA
Rfam family: Bacterial small subunit ribosomal RNA
Source: RNAcentral